AGAUUGAACGCUGGCGGCAUGCUUUACACAUGCAAGUCGAACGGCAACAGGCCGCAAGGUGCUGACGAGUGGCGAACGGGUGAGUAAUGUAUCGGAACGUGCCCAGUCGUGGGGGAUAACGCAGCGAAAGCUGCGCUAAUACCGCAUACGAUCUAUGGAUGAAAGCGGGGGACCGUAAGGCCUCGCGCGAUUGGAGCGGCCGAUAUCAGAUUAGGUAGUUGGUGGGGUAAAGGCUCACCAAGCCAACGAUCUGUAGC
Molecule: ribosomal RNA, 257 nt
Filed under: uncultured soil bacterium
Lineage: Bacteria
Description: partial 16S ribosomal RNA
Rfam family: Bacterial small subunit ribosomal RNA
Source: RNAcentral